Long non-coding RNA from Suricata suricatta (meerkat), 592 nucleotides. RefSeq lists it as uncharacterized. NCBI's taxonomy places the organism in Eukaryota, Metazoa, Chordata, Mammalia, Carnivora, Herpestidae. The transcript has 2 exons. The record is from RefSeq and is a predicted model, not a curated record.
AGGCAGCCCCUGGGCCUGGUGGCCGCAUGAUUGAUGCAAGUAUUUGGUUCUCUUGGUAGUCAGGGAUGAGGCCUCCGCUGAGGGGAUUUGCCUCAUUCCAUGCGGGGCAGUAAGAUGAUUAAGUUACAAGGUGCACUGAAGGCAGGCUAUUUUGUCGCUCUGACCUCAAUUUCAGCAGGAAAGGACAAAACAAGUAGACCAAAAGGCAAAUUAGAGACUGGCAGAUGGCGACAAUUGCCCAGAUGCUGCAGCUUUCAUGUUCAUCUGAUGUUUCUAUGAUGCGCCAACGUUAUUUGUGUUCGUGGAAUUGCACGCCCGGAGUGGACCCAGGUGGCGCGCCCCCGAGGCUGGCCAUCGGCGUGGGCUCUGCGCUGCGUGGGUGGAGGUACUGAGUCCUGGCGGGCUCCCUCGCCCUCCUCCAGCCCUCCUGCUGGAUUGUGGUUGCACCCCUCUCCUCUGGAAGGGUGACAUUUGCACUUGAAUCCCAGGAUGGUUUCUGGACUCCUGCACUCUCUCUGAUCCUCUUGCCCCUCUCCCUUACUGUGUGAGCUCCCCAGACCCUCGAAGACCUGAGACAUGAAGAAGUGUUUCA